This 234-nucleotide unclassified non-coding RNA is filed under the name plant metagenome. RNAcentral's name for it is "partial contains small subunit ribosomal RNA, internal transcribed spacer 1, and 5.8S ribosomal RNA". The record is from RNAcentral.
UUUCCGUAGGUGAACCUGCGGAAGGAUCAUCAAUGUGUUUGGGCCUCACGGCUCUUCAUUCCGACGCUGUGCGCCUUCGGGCUGCACGCUGAGGGAGCAUAUAUCCACCCCUGUGCACACACACGGUGGCGAGCUGGGUAACGGCUCGCCGCUGAUCUUUACACACGUCUAAAAGUCAUUGUAUGUUUAUUUGAGAUAAAAACACAACUUUCAGCAACGGAUCUCUUGGCUCUC